UACGUAGGGUGCGAGCGUUAAUCGGAAUUACUGGGCGUAAAGCGCACGUAGGCGGACUACUAAGUCAGGGGUGAAAUCCCGGGGCUCAACCCCGGAACUGCCUUUGAUACUGAUAGUCUCGAGUCCGGAAGAGGUGAGUGGAAUUCCGAGUGUAGAGGUGAAAUUCGUAGAUAUUCGGAGGAACACCAGUGGCGAAGGCGGCUCACUGGUCCGGUACUGACGCUGAGGUGCGAAAGCGUGGGGAGCAAACAGG
This 253-nucleotide ribosomal RNA is filed under the name uncultured bacterium. RNAcentral describes it as "partial 16S ribosomal RNA". It matches the Rfam family "Bacterial small subunit ribosomal RNA", at positions 524 to 776 of the family's 1533-position model. The record is from RNAcentral.